GCUCAGGAUGAACGCUAGCUACAGGCUUAACACAUGCAAGUCGAGGGGUGGCAGGGUAGCAAUACCGCUGACGACCGGCGCACGGGUGAGUAACACGUAUCCAACCUUCCCAUAACUCGGGGAUAGCCUUUCGAAAGAAAGAUUAAUACCCGAUAGUACUUUAUUAAGGCAUCUUAAGAAAGUUAAAGAUUUAUUGGUUAUGGAUGGGGAUGCGUUCCAUUAGAUAGUUGGUGAGGUAACGGCUCACCAAGUCUUCGAUGGAUAGGGGUUCUGAGAGGAAGGUCCCCCACAUUGGUACUGAGACACGGACCAA
This 313-nucleotide ribosomal RNA is filed under the name uncultured Bacteroidales bacterium. Its description in RNAcentral is "bacterial SSU rRNA". It matches the Rfam family "Bacterial small subunit ribosomal RNA", at positions 22 to 334 of the family's 1533-position model. The record is from RNAcentral. Lineage: Bacteria; Pseudomonadati; Bacteroidota; Bacteroidia; Bacteroidales.